AUGCACGCUGGCGGCGUGCCUAAUACAUGCAAGUCGAGCGAACAGAUGAGGAGCUUGCUCCUCUGACGUUAGCGGCGGACGGGUGAGUAACACGUGGAUAACCUACCUAUAAGACUGGGAUAACUUCGGGAAACCGGAGCUAAUACCGGAUAAUAUAUUGAACCGCAUGGUUCAAUAGUGAAAGACGGUUUUGCUGUCACUUAUAGAUGGAUCCGCGCCGCAUUAGCUAGUUGGUAAGGUAACAGCUUACCAAGGCAACGAUGCGUAGCCGACCUGAGAGGGUGAUCGGCCACACUGGAACUGAGACACGGUCCAGACUCCUACGGGAGGCAGCAGUAGGGAAUCUUCCGCAAUGGGCGAAAGCCUGACGGAGCAACGCCGCGUGAGUGAUGAAGGUCUUCGGAUCGUAAAACUCUGUUAUUAGGGAAGAACAAAUGUGUAAGUAACUAUGCACGUCUUGACGGUACCUAAUCAGAAAGCCACGGCUAACUACGUG
Molecule: ribosomal RNA, 496 nt
Filed under: uncultured bacterium
Lineage: Bacteria
Description: partial 16S ribosomal RNA
Rfam family: Bacterial small subunit ribosomal RNA
Source: RNAcentral